GAUGAACGCUGGCGGCGUGCCUAAUACAUGCAAGUCGAGCGAACAGACGAGGAGCUUGCUUCUCUGACGUUAGCGGCGGACGGGUGAGUAACACGUGGAUAACCUACCUAUAAGACUGGGAUAACUUCGGGAAACCGGAGCUAAUACCGGAUAAUAUAUUGAACCGCAUGGUUCAAUAGUGAAAGACGGUUUUGCUGUCACUUAUAGAUGGAUCCGCGCCGCAUUAGCUAGUUGGUAAGGUAACGGCUUACCAAGGCAACGAUGCGUAGCCGACCUGAGAGGGUGAUCGGCCACACUGGAACUGAGACACGGUCCAGACUCCUACGGGAGGCAGCAGUAGGGAAUCUUCCGCAAUGGGCGAAAGCCUGACGGAGCAACGCCGCGUGAGUGGUGAAGGUCUUCGGAUCGUAAAACUCUGUUAUUAGGGAAGAACAAAUGUGUAAGUAACUAUGCACGUCUUGACGGUACCUAAUCAGAAAGCCACGGCUAACUACGUG
RNAcentral lists this ribosomal RNA (497 nucleotides) under uncultured bacterium. Its description in RNAcentral is "partial 16S ribosomal RNA". It matches the Rfam family "Bacterial small subunit ribosomal RNA", at positions 28 to 507 of the family's 1533-position model. The record is from RNAcentral.